UACGUAGGCAGCAAGCGUUGUUCGGAGUUACUGGGCGUAAAGCGCGCGCAGGCGGCCCGCGAGGUGUCACGUGAAAGCCCCGGGCUCAACCCGGGAGGGUCGUGGCAAACCGGCGGGCUUGAGGCCGGUAGAGGUGGGUGGAACUCCUGGUGGAGUGGUGAAAUGCGUAGAGAUCAGGAAGAACACCCGUGGCGAAGGCGGCCCACUGGGCCGGUACUGACGCUGAGGCGCGAAGGCGUGGGGAGCGAACGGG
Molecule: ribosomal RNA, 253 nt
Filed under: uncultured bacterium
Lineage: Bacteria
Description: partial 16S ribosomal RNA
Rfam family: Bacterial small subunit ribosomal RNA
Source: RNAcentral